RNAcentral lists this microRNA precursor (100 nucleotides) under Marmota monax (woodchuck). Lineage: Eukaryota; Metazoa; Chordata; Mammalia; Rodentia; Sciuridae. The record is from RNAcentral.
CGUAUAAUUGCUAGGUCAUAUUGUAACUUGUGUCUCACUUUUUGAGGAACUAGUAGAUGUUUUCCACAGUGGCUGCACCAUCUACAUUCCCACUAGCAGC